AAAACUGAGACCUCCUGGUCACCCGCCGCCGAGCCUUUCAGAAACUCCCACAAGCUCUGACUUCCCUCACUGGUUCUCUUCAGAACCCCUCUUAGGUGUUAGCGGCUAACAAUAAGCUCGCUCCUUACCACUCCCAAAUCGGCCCCUCUGGAGAGGAAAGGAGAACUUAAGCGGGUCGUGCUUGCCUCCAGCAGCCACCUCGCCCACGGACUGCUCCGCCCCUUCUCCUCCCGCUCCUCCACGCUAGCGCUCAGUGCCAAGUGAGAAGCUGAAACAGAAGGCAGGCAAGGCGCGCAUGCGCACCGAGGGUGGAGCCGCUGAGCAUAAAACCGGAAACUUAGAGACAAAGUUCGUAGCCCCGCCCCCGCCGCGCGCCGCUCAGUUGUCUGGCCCUGUUGACCCACGGCCCACGAUCUACCGACCCACGAAUCAGCCCGGCCCUCUAGUACACCAUGUCUGGCUCCUCCAGCGUCGCCGCUAUGAAGAAAGUGGUUCAACAGCUCCGGCUGGAGGCCGGACUCAACCGCGUAAAAGUUUCCCAGGCAGCUGCAGACUUGAAACAAUUCUGUCUGCAGAAUGCUCAACAUGAUCCUCUGCUGACUGGAGUAUCUUCAAGUACAAAUCCGUUCAGACCCCAGAAAGUCUGUUCCUUUUUGUAGUAAAAUGAAUCUUUUCAAAGGUUUCCCAAACCACUUCUUAUGAUCCAGUGAAUAUUCAAGAGAGCUCCAUUUGAAGCCUGUACAAAAGCUUAUCCCUGUAACACUUGUGCCAUAAUAUACAAACUUCUAUUUCUGUCAGUCCUUAACAUCUACCUCUCUGAAUUUUCAUGAAUUUCUAUUUCACAAGGGUAAUUGUUUUAUAUACACUGGCAGCAGCAUACAAUAAAACUUAGUAAGAAAAGUU
Long non-coding RNA from Callithrix jacchus (white-tufted-ear marmoset), 903 nucleotides. RefSeq annotates it as guanine nucleotide-binding protein G(I)/G(S)/G(O) subunit gamma-5. The record is from RefSeq and is a predicted model, not a curated record. Lineage: Eukaryota; Metazoa; Chordata; Mammalia; Primates; Cebidae.